RNAcentral lists this transfer RNA (71 nucleotides) under Trichechus manatus latirostris (Florida manatee). RNAcentral's name for it is "tRNA-Sup (TCA) (tRNA-Sup-TCA-6-1)". It matches the Rfam family "tRNA". From Rfam's summary of the family: Transfer RNA (tRNA) molecules are approximately 80 nucleotides in length. Their secondary structure includes four short double-helical elements and three loops (D, anti-codon, and T loops). Further hydrogen bonds mediate the characteristic L-shaped molecular structure. tRNAs have two regions of fundamental functional importance: the anti-codon, which is responsible for specific mRNA codon recognition, and the 3' end, to which the tRNAs corresponding amino acid is attached (by aminoacyl-tRNA synthetases). tRNAs cope with the degeneracy of the genetic code in two manners: having more than one tRNA (with a specific anti-codon) for a particular amino acid; and 'wobble' base-pairing, i.e. permitting non-standard base-pairing at the 3rd anti-codon position. Lineage: Eukaryota; Metazoa; Chordata; Mammalia; Sirenia; Trichechidae. The record is from Rfam by way of RNAcentral.
GCGCUGGUGGUUCAGUGGUAGAAUUCUUACCUUCAAUGUAGGAGACCCGGGUUUGAUUCCUGGUCAAUGCA